Molecule: non-coding RNA, 92 nt
Organism: Guyanagaster necrorhizus
Lineage: Eukaryota; Fungi; Basidiomycota; Agaricomycetes; Agaricales; Physalacriaceae
Source: the annotation of a RefSeq genome assembly
ACGCCGAUGGUGAAACGGUUAUCAUGCUUGCCUUCCAUGUCUCCCCACAAUGAUAUCAGCAAGCGGUAGGGGUUCGACUCCCCUUCGGCGUA